UACGUAGGGACCUAGCGUUGUCCGGAAUCAUUGGGCGUAAAGCGCGCGUAGGCGACCCGGUAAGUCCGUUGUAAAAGUCGAAGGCUCAACCUUCGAAAGCCGAUGGAUACUGCCGGGCUAGAGUCCGGAAGAGGCGAGUAGAAUUCCUGGUGUAGCGGUGGAAUGCGCAGAUAUCAGGAGGAAUACCCAUAGCGAAGGCAGCUCGCUGGGACGGUACUGACGCUGAGGCGCGAAAGCGUGGGGAGCGAACAGG
RNAcentral lists this ribosomal RNA (253 nucleotides) under uncultured bacterium. Its description in RNAcentral is "partial 16S ribosomal RNA". It matches the Rfam family "Bacterial small subunit ribosomal RNA", at positions 524 to 776 of the family's 1533-position model. The record is from RNAcentral.